RNAcentral lists this ribosomal RNA (253 nucleotides) under uncultured bacterium. Its description in RNAcentral is "partial 16S ribosomal RNA". It matches the Rfam family "Bacterial small subunit ribosomal RNA", at positions 524 to 776 of the family's 1533-position model. The record is from RNAcentral.
UACGAAGGGUGCAAGCGUUAUCCGGAUUCACUGGGUUUAAAGGGUGCGUAGGUGGGCUGGUAAGUCAGUGGUGAAAUCUCCAGGCUUAACUUGGAAACUGCCAUUGAUACUAUCAGUCUUGAAUACCGUGGAGGUCAGCGGAAUAUGUCAUGUAGCGGUGAAAUGCUUAGAUAUGACAUAGAACACCAAUUGCGAAGGCAGCUGGCUACACGAAUAUUGACACUGAUGCACGAAAGCGUGGGGAUCAAACAGG